AGCGAACGCUGGCGGCAGGCCUAACACAUGCAAGUCGUGCGCCCCGCAAGGGGAGCGGCGGACGGGUGAGUAACGCGUGGGAAUGUGUCUUCGGGUGGGGAUAACCCUGGGAAACUAGGGCUAAUACCGCAUGAUGUCUGCGGACCAAAGCCGCAAGGCGCCCGAGGAGCAGCCCGCGUCCGAUUAGCUAGUUGGUGGGGUAAAAGCCUACCAAGGCGACGAUCGGUAGCUGGUCUGAGAGGAUGAUCAGCCACACUGGGACUGAGACACGGCCCAGACUCCUACGGGAGGCAGCAGUGGGGAAUAUUGGACAAUGGGCGAAAGCCUGAUCCAGCCAUGCCGCGUGGGUGAAGAAGGCCCUAGGGUUGUAAAGCCCCUUUCGGCGGGGACGAUGAUGACGGUACCCGCAGAAGAAGCCCCGGCUAACUUCGUGCCAGCAGCCGC
RNAcentral lists this ribosomal RNA (444 nucleotides) under uncultured bacterium. RNAcentral's name for it is "bacterial SSU rRNA". It matches the Rfam family "Bacterial small subunit ribosomal RNA", at positions 30 to 518 of the family's 1533-position model. The record is from RNAcentral.